CGACUGGCCAUUAGCUCUUGUUUCCGACAGCAUUCUCUUUCCACUCUCCCUCCUCCUUUGCUCCUCUGGCAGGUACGGUGGCUAGUCCAGCAGAAACACAGCCUCACACCCCGCCCCCCCGUCCCCCACCCUCUGCCUGCAGGUACACUGUCCCCUGAAAGAACCCAACACAUACAAUUCUGAAAAGGGUGAUGCGCUGCUCAGAAGGUCAGAUGCCAUGUCUGCCUCGACCUCAAGGUCAGAAGGUUUCCACAGCCCUGGGGCCAGAACAUGUGAUCUCCUCUCCCCAUCUCUCCCUGGUUCCUUUGGGAGGGUGGAAAAUUGCCCUAAAACAGAAUCUUUUCUUUUGUAAAUCAUGUUGGAAGGAAGCAACAGUGAACUCUAGCUGUCCUGGAGUUGACCUGGGUCUAUAGCAGGUUGGGAACUUAGUAAAUAAGGCCAUCUGCCCAGAUUUUAAUCUGAUCUCUCUCUGUCCCUGGCCAUCUCCACAUCAGAAUGGUGUGGUUAAGAGAGCUUGCAGCCUGGAAAAUCCUCCGGCCCAGCUAAGCAGGCACUGGGUUGGGGGGUGGGGGGGGGUGGAAAUGAGGAAAGGAAUGCUGACUCUCUCUUGUCCUCACACUCACCGCCCCCCCAGUCCUGGGCCCUUCUCAGAAGCAGCAAAUUAAACAAGAAGCCAGACAGCAAGGCCCUGGGGAAAAAAAGCCAAGAUCCAGAAAGAGCUGAUGGCAGCCCUGGAAGGUCUCUUUGUGGAGAGUGACUUAACUCUAAUUUUCUCUGGAACUUGAAGUCUUGGAUACUGGAGGAGAAAUCUAACUUUGUCCAGAGUCUUAGACCACGUGUUUGUGUAAGCAGUCCCCACAGUGCGCUUCUAAGCUAAGAAUACCCCUGCAGCAGGCUGGGGUUUGCCUUCAGAGAGGGUAGCUAUGGUACAUUGGGGGUUGGCAUCUCAUCCGAGCUGUUAAGUGAGUUUCCCAGCCUCACUGUGGCUGGGCCUCCCCUGGAAUUCAGUAGGGGAUCAGGAGAGCACUGCAAGGUUUGCUGAGAUGAGCCCAGACUUGCUGUGUAGACUAGACUUAAAGGGUCACACACAAGUCACAGGGGUGAGCCACCCCCUCCUUUCACAACUCCUGUCCUUACAGAGCCAGGUCUCUAGGUCUCUACAAUAAACCCUGAAGAGGUGACUGCCAGGCGAGGGCACAUCACCACCUCUGUCAGACACUGGUGCAGAGCCUAGCCUCGCUUCCUCUGGCAUGCUGUAUUUCCUUUCCUGCCUGCAGCUGCCCCCUCCCAGGCCCUACAAAGCCAGUGUGGCCGCCCUCUUGGUAGCUCUGCCAGUGAGAAGGCAGUUGUGUGUCCAAUGGCCCGCUCCCGCCUACCCCACGCCACUGCAUCCUGACCAGCGAAACGUGCUCGAAUGUGGUGGAGGAUGAGGAAGCAGGUGGGCACCUUGUCUGCCCCAGCCUCCCGGGAGAGACUACGUCUCCAAGGGCCAGGCUCUGACGCUGAGGUUCUGACUGAUCCCGGACGUGGGACAAAGUCUGCUGAGAGCUGGAGUGAGGGGUCAGGAGGGGAGAAUGGGGGAGAAGCACUUGAUGUAGUUGUGUGGAAUAAACGGUAUUUUUUCUUUUGUA
Molecule: long non-coding RNA, 1631 nt
Organism: Aethalodelphis obliquidens (Pacific white-sided dolphin)
Lineage: Eukaryota; Metazoa; Chordata; Mammalia; Artiodactyla; Delphinidae
Exons: 2
Source: RefSeq, a predicted model, not a curated record